Molecule: ribosomal RNA, 468 nt
Filed under: uncultured bacterium
Lineage: Bacteria
Description: partial 16S ribosomal RNA
Rfam family: Bacterial small subunit ribosomal RNA
Source: RNAcentral
GACGAACGCUGGCGGCGUGCUUAACACAUGCAAGUCGAACGGAAAGGCCCUGCUUUUGUGGGGUGCUCGAGUGGCGAACGGGUGAGUAACACGUGAGUAACCUGCCCUUGACUUUGGGAUAACUUCAGGAAACUGGGGCUAAUACCGGAUAGGAGCUCCUGCUGCAUGGUGGGGGUUGGAAAGUUUCGGCGGUUGGGGAUGGACUCGCGGCUUAUCAGCUUGUUGGUGGGGUAGUGGCUUACCAAGGCUUUGACGGGUAGCCGGCCUGAGAGGGUGACCGGGCAGAGGGGGGCAGAGAUGCGCAGCGGGCGACGCCGUGAGGCAGCAGUGGGGGAUGUGGGAGAAUGGGCGGAGGCAUGAGGCAGCAUCGCGGCGGGGGGGAUGAAGGAGUUGUGGUUGGAGGCAAAGUUGGCCUGUGAAGAAGCGUGAGAGAAGGUGGUGGGUAAAGAAGGACCGGAUAACUACGUC